RNAcentral lists this ribosomal RNA (724 nucleotides) under Salmonella enterica subsp. enterica serovar Newport. RNAcentral's name for it is "partial 23S ribosomal RNA". It matches the Rfam family "Bacterial large subunit ribosomal RNA", at positions 411 to 1135 of the family's 2925-position model. The record is from RNAcentral. Lineage: Bacteria; Pseudomonadati; Pseudomonadota; Gammaproteobacteria; Enterobacterales; Enterobacteriaceae.
AGUAGGGCGGGACACGUGGUAUCCUGUCUGAAUAUGGGGGGACCAUCCUCCAAGGCUAAAUACUCCUGACUGACCGAUAGUGAACCAGUACCGUGAGGGAAAGGCGAAAAGAACCCCGGCGAGGGGAGUGAAAAAGAACCUGAAACCGUGUACGUACAAGCAGUGGGAGCACCCUUCGGGGUGUGACUGCGUACCUUUUGUAUAAUGGGUCAGCGACUUAUAUUCUGUAGCAAGGUUAACCGAAUAGGGGAGCCGGAGGGAAACCGAGUCUUAACCGGGCGUUAAGUUGCAGGGUAUAGACCCGAAACCCGGUGAUCUAGCCAUGGGCAGGUUGAAGGUUGGGUAACACUAACUGGAGGACCGAACCGACUAAUGUUGAAAAAUUAGCGGAUGACCUGUGGCUGGGGGUGAAAGGCCAAUCAAACCGGGAGAUAGCUGGUUCUCCCCGAAAGCUAUUUAGGUAGCGCCUCGUGAAUUCAUCUCCGGGGGUAGAGCACUGUUUCGGCUAGGGGGCCAUCCCGGCUUACCAACCCGAUGCAAACUGCGAAUACCGGAGAAUGUUAUCACGGGAGACACACGGCGGGUGCUAACGUCCGUCGUGAAGAGGGAAACAACCCAGACCGCCAGCUAAGGUCCCAAAGUCAUGGUUAAGUGGGAAACGAUGUGGGAAGGCCCAGACAGCCAGGAUGUUGGCUUAGAAGCAGCCAUCAUUUAAAGAAAGCGU